RNAcentral lists this transfer RNA (87 nucleotides) under bacterium. Its description in RNAcentral is "tRNA-Leu". It matches the Rfam family "tRNA". From Rfam's summary of the family: Transfer RNA (tRNA) molecules are approximately 80 nucleotides in length. Their secondary structure includes four short double-helical elements and three loops (D, anti-codon, and T loops). Further hydrogen bonds mediate the characteristic L-shaped molecular structure. tRNAs have two regions of fundamental functional importance: the anti-codon, which is responsible for specific mRNA codon recognition, and the 3' end, to which the tRNAs corresponding amino acid is attached (by aminoacyl-tRNA synthetases). tRNAs cope with the degeneracy of the genetic code in two manners: having more than one tRNA (with a specific anti-codon) for a particular amino acid; and 'wobble' base-pairing, i.e. permitting non-standard base-pairing at the 3rd anti-codon position. The record is from RNAcentral.
GCGAAAGUGGCGGAACUGGUAGACGCGCUGGGUUCAGGACCCAGUGGGGGCAACUCCGUGGGGGUUCGACUCCCCCCUUUCGCACCA